GGGGAAUAUUGCACAAUGGGCGGAAGCCUGAUGCAGCGACGCCGCGUGGGGGAUGACGGCCUUCGGGUUGUAAACCUCUUUCAGCAGGGAAGAAGCCUCGUUUUGUGUGCGGGGUGACGGUACGUGCAGAAGAAGCACCGGCUAACUACGUGCCAGCAGCCGCGGUAAUACGUAGGGUGCGAGCGUUGUCCGGAAUUAUUGGGCGUAAAGAGCUCGUAGGCGGCGUGUCGCGUCGGAUGUGAAAGCCCGGGGCUUAACCCCGGGUUGGCAUUCGAUACGGGCAGGCUAGAGUUCGGUAGGGGAGACUGGAAUUCCUGGUGUAGCGGUGAAAUGCGCAGAUAUCAGGAGGAACACCGGUGGCGAAGGCGGGUCUCUGGGCCGAUACUGACGCUGAGGAGCGAAAGCGUGGGGAGCGAAC
This 418-nucleotide ribosomal RNA is filed under the name uncultured bacterium. RNAcentral describes it as "bacterial SSU rRNA". It matches the Rfam family "Bacterial small subunit ribosomal RNA", at positions 356 to 773 of the family's 1533-position model. The record is from RNAcentral.